This 591-nucleotide ribosomal RNA is filed under the name uncultured marine bacterium. Its description in RNAcentral is "bacterial SSU rRNA". It matches the Rfam family "Bacterial small subunit ribosomal RNA", at positions 94 to 680 of the family's 1533-position model. The record is from RNAcentral.
AGCGGCGAACGGGUGAGUAACGCGUAGGAAUCUACCUAGUAGAAGGGGAUAGCCCGAGGAAACUCGGAUUAAUACCGUAUACGUCCUUAGGGAGAAAGAGGGCUUAGCUUUGAUGCUCUCGCUAUUAGAUGAGCCUGCGUAAGAUUAGCUUGUUGGUGAGGUAAAGGCUCACCAAGGCGACGACCUUUAGCUGGUCUGAGAGGACGAUCAGCCACAUUGGGACUGAGACACGGCCCAGACUCCUACGGGAGGCAGCAGUGGGGAAUAUUGGACAAUGGGCGCAAGCCUGAUCCAGCCAUACCGCGUGUGUGAAGAAGGCCUUCGGGUUGUAAAGCACUUUAAGUAAGGAAGAAAAGAGUAUUGUUAAUACCAAUACUCCGUGACAUUACUUACAGAAUAAGGACCGGCUAAUUCCGUGCCAGCAGCCGCGGUAAUACGGAAGGUCCAAGCGUUAAUCGGAAUUACUGGGCGUAAAGCGCGCGUAGGUGGUUUAUUAAGUUGGGUGUGAAAGCCCCGGGCUCAACCUGGGAACUGCAUCCAAUACUGAUUCACUAGAGUACGAAAGAGGAAAGUAGAAUUCACAGUGUAGCG